RNAcentral lists this ribosomal RNA (250 nucleotides) under uncultured bacterium. Its description in RNAcentral is "partial 16S ribosomal RNA". It matches the Rfam family "Bacterial small subunit ribosomal RNA", at positions 524 to 773 of the family's 1533-position model. The record is from RNAcentral.
UACGUAGGGGGCAAGCGUUAUCCGGAUUUACUGGGUGUAAAGGGAGCGUAGACGGUUUGGCAAGUCAGAUGUGAAAGCCCAGGGCUCAACCCUGGGACUGCAUUUGAAACUGCGAGACUAGAGUGCAGGAGAGGUAAGUGGAAUUCCUAGUGUAGCGGUGAAAUGCGUAGAUAUUAGGAGGAACACCAGUGGCGAAGGCGACUUACUGGACUGUAACUGACGUUGAGGCUCGAAAGCGUGGGGAGCAAAC